This 1697-nucleotide unclassified non-coding RNA is filed under the name Centruroides sculpturatus (bark scorpion). Its description in RNAcentral is "uncharacterized LOC111629938, transcript variant X2". The record is from RNAcentral. Lineage: Eukaryota; Metazoa; Arthropoda; Arachnida; Scorpiones; Buthidae.
AGUUGCAUAAUAUUUCAGCAGUUUACUAUCGUUGGGUAGUUGUCGUCCUUGAUUGUACAGUUAUUCAUUUAAAAUAUGUAUGUUAUAUACGGAAGGUAAAACUUAAACCCACAUCCAAAGAUUCUGGUUUGACAUCAUAAUUUCAAGGACUGAACAAUUUAAGCUUCUUAGUAUUAUCUUAAAGAGAUACGCAGAUGGCAAUGAAAAUGUAGUUAUCCUUAAUACCUCAUUAAUUUAGAAAUGAUAAUUUUAAUUAUAGAUUAGAUUAGAAAACAAACUAAAAAGAAAAUCGCCUUUAAUCUUUGAUUAAUUGUAAAUUUAAUCCUAUAGAUUUUUAUCACUUGGAAUAGGAGUAUUAAGUCACAAAAUCCUCUCGGAAUAAGGCUGUAGUCAUCUUAGAAACGAACAGACUCUUAAGCAGGUGUACGCUGAGUGGGUCAAGGACCGAUUUUUCUUCCAUAUCCCAGUGAUUGCACUCGCCUCUGACAGGUGGUAUUCCAUUUUGCAUUUUUGAUAUAUGCAUUGUAUGUUAUUUGCGAUGGGCAAACAACAUUCUUCGGACCUUAUUUUAAUCAAGAUAAAAUAGGAAGUCAAGCUGUUUCCAUCUUUACCAUUGUCUUCAGCGGUUGCCUUCUAUUAUUUACUGCUGUCUUAGCUUACGCAGUGAAGAAAGCCAACCGCUACCUGUUCAUCCCUUGGUUGAUCGGAACAGUUUUGGAGGUUUUUUUGAUAAUAGCACUGGGUGUCUGGUUUAUAGCACAAUAUUACAGCAAUAUCUAUUCCAUCUUUACAGCAAUUGUGCUUUGGUGUUUUGAUGGUCUUCACAUAUAUUGUCUCUUAUGUGUGAUAUCACAAUAUCAAGUCCUCCAAGACAGCGAAGAGCCGAGGUUCCAUGAACUGUCCUGGUAGUUCAUGGAACACGGGUUCCAUGAACUACCAAGGAACUGUUUACGUCACAACCCAGAAACUAUCCCCCAACAGGAACCCAGAAGAGAAAACGUAAGAUGCCAAUGCGAGUGGAGAAUUUUCGAAACCACAGUGUAGAUGUAAACAACGCGAAAAUAUGAUAUUUUUUAUUCUUUGUUGGUGUACGUGUAUAUCGUAUGGUUGUUAAACAUAUUCAGGAAUUUUUUUUCGUGCCAAUUUUUACUUUAAAACAUUAGAAAAUAGUCAAUUUAAGUAGUUCAAAAGGUGGAUAAGAGUUCGGAGGAACCUGGACGUUGCUGCUAACGACGAAGAGAAUGCGAAAAAUAAGUAGGAUGUAUAUAUAUAUAUAAUAAGGCUAUUUAUGUUACUAAAUAUAAAUCUCUGGUAGUAAUCAAUCAAGAUGCUGCAGAAUGGCAAAGUUCCAAGAGACUAAUUCGUCUUCAUUUGCGAACCAUCUGACCAACAAAACAAGCCGAAAAGAUCGAUACAUCCACGAAUUACAUUUUCCUUUAUGACAGACAGCUGACUGUCAUUCUUUCCACUUUACCGGAUUUUUAUUUAAAGAAUAAAAAAAGGAAUAACCCCUCCGACAGAUCUGUUGAAUAUAUUUAAUUGAAUCGAAACGAAGCUGCCAUUUUUGUUUGUUUGUUUUUUUCUAUAUUUGAUACAAUUUUAUAAUCUUUCCUUACAUGUCGUUCAUGUGUAUAAGUGUAUAUCUUAUUCGUUGUAUUAAAAAUUUAAACUUAUACAAUUCGUGAAUAAACUUAUAU